UACGUAGGGUGCGAGCGUUAAUCGGAAUUACUGGGCGUAAAGCGUGCGCAGGCGGUUUUGUAAGCCAGAUGUGAAAGCCCCGGGCUCAACCUGGGAAUGGCAUUUGGGACUGCAAGGCUUGAGUGCGGCAGAGGAGACUGGAAUUCCUGGUGUAGCAGUGAAAUGCGUAGAUAUCAGGAGGAAUACCGAUGGCGAAGGCGGAUCUCUGGGCCUUACCUGACGCUCAGGUGCGAAAGCUAGGGGAGCGAACAGG
This 253-nucleotide ribosomal RNA is filed under the name uncultured bacterium. Its description in RNAcentral is "partial 16S ribosomal RNA". It matches the Rfam family "Bacterial small subunit ribosomal RNA", at positions 524 to 776 of the family's 1533-position model. The record is from RNAcentral.